This 250-nucleotide ribosomal RNA is filed under the name uncultured prokaryote. RNAcentral's name for it is "partial 16S ribosomal RNA". It matches the Rfam family "Bacterial small subunit ribosomal RNA", at positions 524 to 773 of the family's 1533-position model. The record is from RNAcentral.
UACGUAGGGGGCAAGCGUUAUCCGGAUUUACUGGGUGUAAAGGGAGCGCAGACGGGAAGGCAAGUCAGAUGUGGAAGCCAGGGGCUCAGCCCAUGGAGUGCAUUUGAAACUGUAGUCCUGGAGUACUGGAGGGGUAAGCGGAAUUCCCGGUGUAGCGGUGAAAUGCGUAGAUAUCGGGAAGAACACCGGUGGCGAAGGCGGCUUACUGGACAGAGACUGACGUUGAGGCUCGAGAGCGUGGGGAGCAAAC